Molecule: ribosomal RNA, 450 nt
Filed under: uncultured bacterium
Lineage: Bacteria
Description: SSU rRNA
Rfam family: Bacterial small subunit ribosomal RNA
Source: RNAcentral
AGGACGAACGCUGGCGGUGUGCUUCACACAUGCAAGUCGAACGAGGUAGCAAUACCUAGUGGCGGACGGGUGAGUAACGCGUGGGAAUCUGCCUUUAGAUGGGGGAUAACGGGCCGAAAGGUCCGCUAAUACCGCAUAGGCCGCAAGGUUAAAGGAGUAAUCCGUCUAAAGAUGAGCCCGCGUCCGAUUAGCUAGUUGGUAGGGUAAAAGCCUACCAAGGCGACGAUCGGUAGCUGGUCUGAGAGGAUGAUCAGCCACAAUGGGACUGAGACACGGCCCAUACUCCUACGGGAGGCAGCAGUGGGGAAUUUUGUGCAAUGGGCGAAAGCCUGACACAGCGACACCGCGUGAGCGAAGAAGCCCUUUGGGGUGUAAAGCUCUGUCAGCUAGGAACGAAAAAUGACGGUACCAGCAGAGGAAGCAUCGGCUAACUACGCGCCAGCACGCCGC